AUAUCAGUUUUCUGUAGGUCACCAAGUUCAACCACUGAGCCCAGAUAAGUUACUAAGAAGUUUAUCUCAGAUCAUAGAAGUCAGGAUGUAAUUAUCCAGAGGAUAUGUAGACUGGCAGUAUUGUCCACACUUCAUGACAGUAGACCUGCUCUGUGGAGAACCAUUUCGAGACAGAUAUGAAACCUGUCUGUUUAAUGAUGAUGAUGUUUUUCUGGAUUACAGGUAGGAUGCUGUUAUAAUGACAUUCACCAGCAUGUUUCUGUGAAAUCACGUUGUUUGAUCUCACCUGCUCUGAAACCUUGAAGGGGUUGGUUUCUUCUCUCUCAAAGGGAGGACCUUUGCUUUUGUGGAGUGACAGGACACUGUGUUUUGUAGAGUGACUGGACACUGUGUUUUGUAGAGUGACAGGACACUGUGUUUUGUAGAGUAACAGGACACUGUGUUUUGUAGAGUGACUGGACACUGUGUUUUGUAGAGUGACAGGACACUGUGUUUUGUAGAGUCACUGGACACUGUGUUUUGUAGAGUGACAGGACACUGUGUUUUGUAGAGUGACAGGACACUAUGUUUUGUAGAGUGACAGGACACUGUGUUUUAUAGAGUGACAGGACACUGUGUUUUGUAGAGUGACAGGACACUAUGUUUUGUAGAGUGACAGGACACUGUGUUUUAUAGAGUGACAGGGCACUGUGUUUUGUAGAGUCACUGGACACUGUGUUUUGUAGAGUCACUGACACUGUGUUUUGUAGAGUGACAGUUGUUAAUGCGUUCAGAGAGUCCCUUGGACUCUCUGAACGUUGGGAAGGAGAGGGAUGGAAAUCAUUUGAUCAUGAUUAACAAUUUAAAUGAUGGAUUUAUUGACUGUUGGCUGAUUGAUUGACUGGCUGGCUGGUUGACUGAUGGACUUCUCCCUUUAAGAAGUGUUCAAGAGAGUAUCCUUCCUGAUCUGCUACAGUCUGUCUCUGUUCAUGUGCAAUCCAAGAUAGCGUCACAUUUGAAGUCCUAUUCCUUGUUUGUCCUUGUGAAUAAGUCAUUGUUAAUUUGUGUUAAUAAAGGCCAAACCAGACCUAUGUCUGUAGCAUGGAAACAGCUUAUGACAACAGCUUAUGUAAAAUUGAGUAUUGAAACACAUUUCUUUGAUUUGACGGACUUUAGAGUUUGCAAAUUUCAGUAAAUGUGUAUGUGUGUUUUUUGUGUCAACCCACCGAUUAGUCUGUCUUCUCCAUCGCUUCCUGAAAUUCAUGUUUAUAUCCACUUUCUCCUCGCUGUCGUCCUCCUCAGAUCUCCUCAGAUGUUAUAAUCUGUCCUUAAUACUGUUUUCCUCUCUGAUGUUUACAGCUCUGGGCCUGUGAACUUCAUUCCCUCUCAGUAUCUCUUUGUUUCUUUCCUUCUUUUGCCUUUCCAUCUCCUUUUUCUCUCGUCCUGUACCACAAGGUACAGACAUUAAAAAUAAUCUUCAUCUCAAAGCAAAUGUACACUUCAAUUCCUAUGGCUGGGGGAAGGUGAAUAGGUCUGAAUUUGUCACUACACUUUAUGUAUUAACAUACAGUUGUGUGUCUAUUGUGUUGGGAGAGUCAGAAUGGAAAGAGACCCGUUCAUGUCUGACUGUUGGCGCUGUAUCUCUCUAAACCACCAAGAGGCAGAAGAGAGUGAACAAUGUCAAUGGGAGGGAGUCGGAUGAUGUUGACCCUACAUGCAGAAAACCAGGGGAGGGAGUAGGAUGAUGUUGACCCUACAUGCCGAAGACCAGGGGAGGGAGUCGGAUGAUGUUGACCCUACAUGCAGAAGACCAAGGGAGGGAGUAGGAUGAUGUUGACCCUACAUGCAGAAGACCAGGGGAGGGAGUAGGAUGAUGUUGACCCUACAUGCAAAAGACCAGGG
This is a long non-coding RNA of Esox lucius (northern pike), 1881 nucleotides long. The record is from Ensembl. NCBI's taxonomy places the organism in Eukaryota, Metazoa, Chordata, Actinopteri, Esociformes, Esocidae.